GACGAUCGCUGGCGGCGUGCUUAACACAUGCAAGUCGAACGGUGAAGCGCCUUCCUUUUUGGUGGGUGUGGAUGAGUGGCGAACGGGUGAGUAACACGUGAGUAACCUGCCCCCUUCUUCUGGAUAACCGCAUGAAAGUGUGGCUAAUACGGGAUAUUCUGGGUCUGUCGCAUGAUGGGUCUGGGAAAGAUAUUGUUUCGGUGGGGGAUGGGCUCGCGGCCUAUCAGCUUGUUGGUGGGGUGAUGGCCUACCAAGGCGGUGACGGGUAGCCGGCCUGAGAGGGUGGACGGUCACACUGGGACUGAGACACGGCCCAGACUCCUACGGGAGGCAGCAGUGGGGAAUAUUGCACAAUGGGCGAAAGCCUGAUGCAGCGACGCCGCGUGAGGGAUGGAGGCCUUCGGGUUGUGAACCUCUUUCGCCAGUGAAGCAGGCCUGCCUCGUUUGUGGGUGGGUUGACGGUAGCUGGAUAAGAAGCGCCGGCUAACUACGUG
RNAcentral lists this ribosomal RNA (494 nucleotides) under uncultured bacterium. RNAcentral describes it as "partial 16S ribosomal RNA". It matches the Rfam family "Bacterial small subunit ribosomal RNA", at positions 28 to 507 of the family's 1533-position model. The record is from RNAcentral.